This 1410-nucleotide long non-coding RNA is filed under the name Sinocyclocheilus grahami. RNAcentral's name for it is "lncRNA (ENSSGRG00000020736.1)". Lineage: Eukaryota; Metazoa; Chordata; Actinopteri; Cypriniformes; Cyprinidae. The record is from RNAcentral.
CUCCAACACCUCUCUCUCCCACAUUUCUUGCUUUGCUCCUCUGGUGUGUUGGGCACGGCUGAGCUCGAGACAACAGCGCAUUGUGGACCAAAGCUUGCUUCUCCAACAUGCUAGCUUGGGCUCUUCACAUCCUGGGUCAUGCAGAGUUCAGAUGGAGAAGGACCUUACAUCAGCUCUGGUGAACCACUGGCGGAAUGAUCAGCCAAUUACCAUUGAAAAUUUCCAACAGACAAUUAUGAGAAGGGAAGAGCGAGACAAAAAGCAGAAAAGAGGCCAGUCAUCAGAUAACCGCACUGUUGGAUGUGUCUCUCUCUAUCAGAGCUCACCAGUGUGGAAGACAGACUUGACUGGUUUUUCACCGCAAGAGAACUUUAAACUGGGAACAUCCUGUUUGCUGCGAACAGCAACUACAAAUGACAUAAUUACACUAAGCCAAUGCAAAUCACUCAUUGUAUUACUGUCCCUAAGAUUCCCUUGCAGUACAACAAAUUUUGCCUAAACACAGCACAAAUACUACACUUCUGUGGCUAAGAGCUGCAUAUCGUGUGUGUGUGUGUGUGUGUGUGUGUGAAUGAGUCUCUUGUACAGUAUGUCCCAGUUGCUCUCCAGCAGAAAACCAGUACUACAUACAUCUAAAUAAAGCCAUAAUGUGCUAAUUUUACCCAGCCUACAAAGAUUACGUUUUCCAAUAUGCCCAAUUAGUGCAAAACACCUGACCCUCCACCCCUCUAUAAUGAAUUGUCAGCUAAUCUAUCCCAUCCCCUGGACAUUAGUUGUCUGGAAGCAUAAGCUAAUAUGAGCAGUAUAGCCUCAUUUUCCAGAUCUGUGCUCGCACCGCACGCCUCUCACUUAACGCUCCAAGUCAGAUGUGCCAUGAGCCACAGCUUUAAUAUAUCAUGCAAAAUUAGGUCAAUAUUAAUAAAGCACAGAUCCAAAUGAAUGCUCCACAUAUGCUGUGAGGAUGGAGGUUUUAAUAGAGGAAAGGUGUGUGAAAUAAAAUGAGCGUCUUCUGAACUGGAAAACGAAGGCUGUUUGUAGCAACAGAAUGACUGGAGAGCAAAGUAAGAGAGGAGGAAAAAAGGGAAGGAUAGAUACAAAGUUGAAAAUCCUCCAUAAAUCAUGACGUUUUACCUCAAACCAGUCCGCACAUGAAAAAUGUGAGUUUACGGGAAUAACUCUGACUGUGAACAAUGCAGCAGUGUGUUUGAGUGGGAGUGUGUUUGUGUGGCAGGUCUGGAAGCACUUUGCGUCCAGCUUUUCUUUUGUCUUAGUCUGGACAACUGUCCUUUGAAAUCUGCUCGCGUGAUCAUAAAUUCAAAGUGCUCUGGGAUGACGAUCUUGUCAACACACUCUCAUAAGGAAACAUCACUCUAGACACUUAUCAUUCUUGUGCUGUACUCAGCAUUCGCC